RNAcentral lists this transfer RNA (69 nucleotides) under Ictidomys tridecemlineatus (thirteen-lined ground squirrel). Its description in RNAcentral is "Spermophilus tridecemlineatus (thirteen-lined ground squirrel) tRNA". It matches the Rfam family "tRNA". From Rfam's summary of the family: Transfer RNA (tRNA) molecules are approximately 80 nucleotides in length. Their secondary structure includes four short double-helical elements and three loops (D, anti-codon, and T loops). Further hydrogen bonds mediate the characteristic L-shaped molecular structure. tRNAs have two regions of fundamental functional importance: the anti-codon, which is responsible for specific mRNA codon recognition, and the 3' end, to which the tRNAs corresponding amino acid is attached (by aminoacyl-tRNA synthetases). tRNAs cope with the degeneracy of the genetic code in two manners: having more than one tRNA (with a specific anti-codon) for a particular amino acid; and 'wobble' base-pairing, i.e. permitting non-standard base-pairing at the 3rd anti-codon position. Lineage: Eukaryota; Metazoa; Chordata; Mammalia; Rodentia; Sciuridae. The record is from Rfam by way of RNAcentral.
GGGGUUGUGGCUCAGGGGUAGAGCACUUGCCUGGCAUGUGGGAGGCACUGGGUUCGAUCCUCAGCACCA